GAUGAACGCUAGCGGCAGGCUUAAUACAUGCAAGUCGAGGGGCAGCACAGAUAGCAAUAUUGGGUGGCGACCGGCAAACGGGUGCGGAACACGUACACAACCUUCCUUUUAGUGUGGGAUAGCCCAGAGAAAUUUGGAUUAAUACCACAUAGUAUAUUGGAGUGGCAUCACUUUGAUAUUAAAGAUUUAUCGCUAAAAGAUGGGUGUGCGUAUGAUUAGGUAGUUGGUAGAGGUAACGGCUCACCAAGCCUUCGAUCAUUAACUGGUUUGAGAGCACGACCAAACACACGGGCACUGAGACACGGGCCCGACUCCUGCGGGAGGCAGCAGUAAGGAAUAUUGGUCAAUGGACGGAAGUCUGAACCAGCCAUGCCGCGUGAAGGAUGACGGCCCUCUGGGUUGUAAACUUCUUUUAUGUGGGACGAAAAAGGGCCAUUUUUGGUCAACUGACGGUACCAUAGGAAUAAGCACCGGCUAACUCCGUGCCAGCCGCCGCGGUAA
Molecule: ribosomal RNA, 501 nt
Filed under: uncultured bacterium
Lineage: Bacteria
Description: partial 16S ribosomal RNA
Rfam family: Bacterial small subunit ribosomal RNA
Source: RNAcentral